GAUCAUUACUGAAUCGUCGACACGAGUUGUUGCUGGCCUUCAAACGGGGGCAUGUGCACACUCUGUUUGCAUCCACUCACACCUGUGCACCCUUUGUAGUUCUGCGGCAUGGGAGAUCCCGUCUCCCUUCCACGGUUCUGCGUCUUUACACACACACAGUAACAUGGUCUUAUGGAAUGUAAGCGGCGUUUAACGCAAUACAAUACAACUUUCAGCAACGGAUCUCUUGGCUCUCGCAUCGAUGAAGAACGCAGCGAAAUGCGAUAAGUAAUGUGAAUUGCAGAAUUCAGUGAAUCAUCGAAUCUUUGAACGCACCUUGCGCCCUUUGGCUAUUCCGAAGGGCAUGCCUGUUUGAGUAUCGUGAACACCUCAACUCCUCAUGGUUUGCCGUGAUGAGCUUGGACUUUGGAGGUUUUGCUGGCCCGCGGUCUGCUCCUCUCAAAUGAAUUAGCUUGCCAGUGCAUGGCGGCGCCACAGGUGUGAUAACUAUCUGCGCUUGUGGUUGCAUGCCAGGUAACCUUCAGUACUGAAGGUUUGCUGGAGCUCAUAAAUGUCUCUCCUCAGUGAAGACAGCUUUUGAACGUUUGAUCUCAAAUCAGGUAGGACUACCCGCUGAACUUAAGCAUAUCAAUAAGCGGAGGAAAAGAAACUAACAAGGAUUCCCCUAGUAACUGCGAGUGAAGCGGGAAGAGCUCAAAUUUAAAAUCUGGCGUGCCUCUGGUCGUCCGAGUUGUAGUCUGGAGAAGCGUUUUCCGUGUUGGACCGUGUACAAGUCCCUUGGAACAGGGCGUCAUAGAGGGUGAGAAUCCCGUCUUUGACACGGACUACCAAUGCUUUGUGAUGCGCUCUCAAAGAGUCGAGUUGUUUGGGAAUGCAGCUCAAAAUGGGUGGUAAAUUCCAUCUAAAGCUAAAUAUUGGCGAGAGACCGAUAGCGAACAAGUACCGUGAGGGAAAGAUGAAAAGAACUUUGGAAAGAGAGUUAAACAGUACGUGAAAUUGCUGAAAGGGAAACGCUUGAAGUCAGUCGCGUUGGCUUGAAAUCAGCCUUGCUUUGCUUGGUGUACUUUCUAGUUGACGGGUCAACAUCAGUUUUGACCAUUGGAUAAGGAUGGAGGGAAUGUGGCUCCUUUAGGAGUGUUAUAGCCUUCUAUCGUAUACAGUGGUUGGGACUGAGGCUCUCAGCACGCU
Molecule: ribosomal RNA, 1188 nt
Filed under: uncultured fungus
Lineage: Eukaryota; Fungi
Description: eukaryotic LSU rRNA
Rfam family: Eukaryotic large subunit ribosomal RNA (bases 586-1188)
Source: RNAcentral